This is a long non-coding RNA of Bos taurus (domestic cattle), 545 nucleotides long. NCBI's taxonomy places the organism in Eukaryota, Metazoa, Chordata, Mammalia, Artiodactyla, Bovidae. The record is from Ensembl.
GUAAAGAAUCUGCCUGCCAAAGUGGGAGACACAAGAGGCGAGGCCACCAGGGAGACCUGUAAAACGGGCACAGGGCUAUCAGCGUCCUUACACGACUGCCGUGAGGAGGACUACAACCCUGCCUGGUCCAGACUUCUUCCCGAUCACAAAAUUGCCACCUGCUCAUGGCAAAAACAAACAAAUCAGGCACCAUCAGAGAUGUGGAACAGAGAAAGUCCAUGGGAAACGAGAAAGUAGAAGUGCCCCCACAGUCUCCAGCCAGGAGGUGACUACCUGGAAGUCACAACAGACAGCUGCGCACACUCCCCCAACCAGCGCAGGCCAGCGCCAGCUUCAGGAUCAGGGCGGCUGGCUUCAGAUCCCUCUGCCACAGGCAGCUGACCUCUCUGGGCGCACUGUUUUGUAAAGUGGACUUGAUCAGAGAGAUCUACCCCAUAAGUUUGCUGGAGGAAUUAACGAACGAAUGAAAAGCAUCUCCAUAAAUGACUGAAAAUAGGCAGAGACGUUGCCCUAGCCUGGACCAUUUUGCUGAUGAGGAAACCAAG